AAAAUCCACAUAUUCUCUGAAACUACAAGUCCAAUCGACCUGAAAAUUUGCAGUCAGCAGGGCAUACAUGUACUGAAGGUUCAUAAAAAAACUUUUUGCAGAUAUCUCUCAAGACUUUUCCUAGAAAAAAGAAAUGGCAAUGCAGUAAAAAUCGCUUGCUAGGUCCGUCAAUCUCAGUAAAAACCUACAAUAAAAUGUCCGCUCCGAGAUUGAAAUACUAAUCUGUGUUACAAACAGGUGCUGAAAAAUGGACAUUAUCAAAAAAUAAUCAUUAAAUGUGUUUUAAAGUUACACCGGAUCGAUUAAAUCCAAAACAUGCACUGCUGGUGAACUGUGAUCAAAAUGUCAAUUUCCUACAAUGACAAAAGAAAUUGCAUUGUGUACAUUCCAUCUCUAGACUUGUUGUCUGUUCAAGGUCCCGACCUAAAAAGAAAUUAAAAGACUAAGUUUUUCUUAAUAUAAACCCGCGUCAUGUGAUGUCUCCUCAAUCUUGCGCGCGCGCUGUAUCUAAAAUAAAAGAAAAACUUUCCAAACUAAACAUGAAACUUCUCCGGUAACAUAAUAAUAUAGACCCUAUACCAAAGCAAA
Molecule: long non-coding RNA, 588 nt
Filed under: Mytilus galloprovincialis (Mediterranean mussel)
Lineage: Eukaryota; Metazoa; Mollusca; Bivalvia; Mytilida; Mytilidae
Source: RNAcentral